GCUCUCGGGUGACGAGUGGCGGACGGGCCGAGUAAUGUCUGGGAAACUGCCUGAUGGAGGGGGAUAACUACUGGAAACGGUAGCUAAUACCGCAUAACGUCGCAAGACCAAAGAGGGGGACCUUCGGGCCUCUUGCCAUCAGAUGUGCCCAGAUGGGAUUAGCUAGUAGGUGGGGUAACGGCUCACCUAGGCGACGAUCCCUAGCUGGUCUGAGAGGAUGACCAGCCACACUGGAACUGAGACACGGUCCAGACUCCUACGGGAGGCAGCAGUGGGGAAUAUUGCACAAUGGGCGCAAGCCUGAUGCAGCCAUGCCGCGUGUAUGAAGAAGGCCUUCGGGUUGUAAAGUACUUUCAGCGGGGAGGAAGGUGUUGUGGUUAAUAACCGCAGCAAUUGACGUUACCCGCAGAAGAAGCACCGGCUAACUCCGUGCCAGCAGCCGCGGUAAUACGGAGGGUGCAAGCGUUAAUCGGAAUUACUGGGCGUAAAGCGCACGCAGGCGGUCUGUCAAGUCGGAUGUGAAAUCCCCGGGCUCAACCUGGGAACUGCAUUCGAAACUGGCAGGCUAGAGUCUUGUAGAGGGGGGUAGAAUUCCAGGUGUAGCGGUGAAAUGCGUAGAGAUCUGGAGGAAUACCGGUGGCGAAGG
RNAcentral lists this ribosomal RNA (646 nucleotides) under Enterobacter cloacae. RNAcentral's name for it is "bacterial SSU rRNA". It matches the Rfam family "Bacterial small subunit ribosomal RNA", at positions 80 to 721 of the family's 1533-position model. The record is from RNAcentral. Lineage: Bacteria; Pseudomonadati; Pseudomonadota; Gammaproteobacteria; Enterobacterales; Enterobacteriaceae.